CAACCUGCCCAUCACUUGGGGAUAACCUUGCGAAAGUAAGACUAAUACCCAAUGACGUCUCUAGAAGACAUCUGAAAGAGAUUAAAGAUUUAUCGGUGAUGGAUGGGGAUGCGUCUGAUUAGCUUGUUGGCGGGGUAACGGCCCACCAAGGCGACGAUCAGUAGGGGUUCUGAGAGGAAGGUCCCCCACAUUGGAACUGAGACACGGUCCGAACUCCUACGGGAGGCAGCAGUGAGGAAUAUUGGUCAAUGGGCGAGAGCCUGAACCAGCCAAGUAGCGUGCAGGAUGACGGCCCUAUGGGUUGUAAACUGCUUUUAUAAGGGAAUAAAGUGAGUCUCGUGAGACUUUUUGCAUGUACCUUAUGAAUAAGGACCGGCUAAUUCCGUGCCAGCAGCCGCGGUAAUACGGAAGGUCCGGGCGUUAUCCGGAUUUAUUGGGUUUAAAGGGAGCGUAGGCCGGAGAUUAAGCGUGUUGUGAAAUGUAGACGCUCAACGUCUGCACUGCAGCGCGAACUGGUUUCCUUGAGUACGCACAAAGUGGGCGGAAUUCGUGGUGUAGCGGUGAAAUGCUUAGAUAUCACGAAGAACUCCGAUUG
RNAcentral lists this ribosomal RNA (595 nucleotides) under uncultured Bacteroidota bacterium. RNAcentral's name for it is "bacterial SSU rRNA". It matches the Rfam family "Bacterial small subunit ribosomal RNA", at positions 122 to 715 of the family's 1533-position model. The record is from RNAcentral. Lineage: Bacteria; Pseudomonadati; Bacteroidota.